This 425-nucleotide ribosomal RNA is filed under the name uncultured bacterium. RNAcentral describes it as "partial 16S ribosomal RNA". It matches the Rfam family "Bacterial small subunit ribosomal RNA", at positions 354 to 796 of the family's 1533-position model. The record is from RNAcentral.
GUUAGGAAUAUUGGACAAUGGGCGCAAGCCUGAUCCAGCCAUGUCGCGUGAACGAUGAAGGCCUUCGGGUUGUAAAGUUCUUUAGCCGAUGAUUAUAAUGACUGUAGUCGGAAAAUAAGCCCCGGCUAACUUCGUGCCAGCAGCCGCGGUAAUACGAAGGGGGCGAGCGUUAUUCGGAAUCACUGGGCGUAAAGCGUGCGUAGGCGGUCUCGUAAGUUAGGAGUGAAAGCCCAGGGCUCAACCUUGGAAUUGCUCUUAAAACUGCAAGGCUAGAAUCUCGGAGAGGAUAGCGGAAUUUCCAGUGUAGCAGUGAAAUGCGUAGAUAUUGGAAGGAACACCAGUGGCGUAAGCGGCUAUCUGGACGAGUAUUGACGCUGAGGCACGAAAGCGUGGGGAUCAAACAGGAUUAGAAACCCGGGUAGUCC